This 670-nucleotide ribosomal RNA is filed under the name Carphodactylus laevis. RNAcentral's name for it is "partial 12S ribosomal RNA". It matches the Rfam family "Bacterial small subunit ribosomal RNA", at positions 321 to 1337 of the family's 1533-position model. The record is from RNAcentral. Lineage: Eukaryota; Metazoa; Chordata; Lepidosauria; Squamata; Carphodactylidae.
AAAACACCUAGCUAAGCCACACCCCCACGGGUCUCAGCAGUAGUUAAUAUUAAGCAAUAAGCGCCCCAAAACCCCUUCAAGCUCGACUUAGUUAUGAUAAAUAGGGCCGGUAAAUUUCGUGCCAGCCACCGCGGUUAUACGAAAAGCCCAAGAUAAUAAUAUACGGCGUAAAGCGUGACUAGAACACCAAGCUUCCACUUCGAAACCCAAACACAUGCCAAGUUAUAAAAUACAUCCGGCACCUCUGAAGUCCUACUCUGGUUUCAACAAUCAGCCCCUUUGACCUCACGAAAACCAAGAAACAAACUGGGAUUAGAUACCCUACUAUGCUUGGUCGUAACCCUAGACCUCCAUACUACACUACGUUCCGCCUGAGAACUACAAGUGAAAAACUCGAAACUCAAAGGACUUGACGGUGCCCCACACCAACCUAGAGGAGCCUGUCCUAUAAUCGAUACUCCCCGAAAAACCUCACCCCCCCUCGCCACUCCCAGCCUAUAUACCGCCGUCGCCAGCCUACCUUAUAAAAGCCCACAAGUAGGCACAAAGAGUUCUUCCCCCAAAACGUCAGGUCAAGGUGUAGCACAUGGGCGGGACUGAGAUGGGCUACAUUUUCUAAAAAGAAAACACCAACCCUGUCCUGAAAAAACAGAUCAAGGUGGAUUUAGCA